UAAGUAUUUAUAGAAAAACUGCCUGCAAGCUUCUUUCAUGAAUAAUUAUCUACAGAUAGUUAUUUACAGGAAUAACUUCUUUUCGUGGUGACUUUCAUGUAUGAUAUCUUGGUAGUUUUCUCCAAAUUUAUCUUUCAUUGUUAGUUUUCUCUAUCACUUACUUUCUGCACAUGGUAUUUUAUCAAACUUCAAGGGUAUCAUGUGUGAUUAAUUCAUUCAAAAAAAAUGAUCAGAAAACUGUUUAUACUUGUUUCUCUUUUAUGUCUUUUUUCUUUGAUAGUAAUCUCCAAAUUUGACUUCUAUGGGUUAGUUUUCUCCAUGACCAACUCUUCUCAAUAGAUUUCUCUGUUGUCAAAUUUUAAGAAUGCCAUCUGUCUUCAUCAGAUCAUCCCAUCAAUUGAUCGAACACUAUUUAUUAAUCAGAAAAAUCACGGUUGAUUGAUUGUCAGAUUUAUGCUUCAAGAAGGUAUUGCAACUUCAUUUUUCAGAAAAUAUUUAGUUAGACAAGUCCAGCACAAUUUCUUGACUAAUUAGCAAACCCUCGCUCCCAUUCCCCUUUUUCUAUUAUACUUGUGCAUUAGAUAAACCAUUUUGCUUGCUUCAACAUAUAUAAUGAGCCAGGAAAUUCAAUUAGGCUUAAUUACUUUGUGUUCUAGCUUGGCAUUUACAACCAGUUUAUUACAUGUACAAAUGUUCUAGUAGCAUGUCCAUGAUGCAGAAAUACCUGAAUAUGAUUUUGCAAUUAUUAAAUUUUUAAUAUCUUUUGUUCCCUUUUGGAAUGAAUAGAUAUACC
Molecule: long non-coding RNA, 793 nt
Filed under: Phoenix dactylifera (date palm)
Lineage: Eukaryota; Viridiplantae; Streptophyta; Magnoliopsida; Arecales; Arecaceae
Description: long non-coding RNA (PDAC_LNC018185)
Source: RNAcentral